UACGAAGGGUGCAAGCGUUAAUCGGAAUUACUGGCGUAAAGCGUGCGUAGGCGGUUUGUUAAGUCCGUUGUGAAAGCCCUGGGCUCAACCUGGGAAUUGCAGUGGAUACUGGCAAGCUAGAGUCAGGUAGAGGGUGGUGGAAAUUCCCGGUGUAGCGGUGAAAUGCGUAGAGAUCGGAGGAACAUCUGUGGCGAAGGCGGCCACCUGGACCAUGACUG
RNAcentral lists this ribosomal RNA (218 nucleotides) under uncultured bacterium. RNAcentral's name for it is "partial 16S ribosomal RNA". It matches the Rfam family "Bacterial small subunit ribosomal RNA", at positions 524 to 742 of the family's 1533-position model. The record is from RNAcentral.